This 303-nucleotide ribosomal RNA is filed under the name uncultured bacterium. RNAcentral's name for it is "partial 16S ribosomal RNA". It matches the Rfam family "Bacterial small subunit ribosomal RNA", at positions 507 to 807 of the family's 1533-position model. The record is from RNAcentral.
AGCAGUCGCCGCGGUAACACGUAGGGUGCAAGCGUUAAUCGGAUUUACUGGGCGUAAAGCGCACGUAGGCGGCUUUGUAAGUUAGAGGUGAAAGCCUGGAGCUCAACUCCAGAAUUGCCUUUAAGACUGCAUCGCUUGAAUCCGGGAGAGGUGAGUGGAAUUCCGAGUGUAGAGGUGAAAUUCGUAGAUAUUCGGAAGAACACCAGUGGCGAAGGCGGCUCACUGGACCGGCAUUGACGCUGAGGUGCGAAAGCGUGGGGAGCAAACAGGAUUAGAGACCCCAGUAGUCCCUGUCUCUUAUAC